GGGUCGGUGUCCCGAGCGGCAAAGGGGGCUGACUGUAAAUCAGCUGCGUAAGCUUCGCAGGUUCGAGUCCUGCCCGGCCCA
RNAcentral lists this transfer RNA (81 nucleotides) under Ardenticatenales bacterium. RNAcentral's name for it is "tRNA-Tyr". It matches the Rfam family "tRNA". Rfam says of the family: Transfer RNA (tRNA) molecules are approximately 80 nucleotides in length. Their secondary structure includes four short double-helical elements and three loops (D, anti-codon, and T loops). Further hydrogen bonds mediate the characteristic L-shaped molecular structure. tRNAs have two regions of fundamental functional importance: the anti-codon, which is responsible for specific mRNA codon recognition, and the 3' end, to which the tRNAs corresponding amino acid is attached (by aminoacyl-tRNA synthetases). tRNAs cope with the degeneracy of the genetic code in two manners: having more than one tRNA (with a specific anti-codon) for a particular amino acid; and 'wobble' base-pairing, i.e. permitting non-standard base-pairing at the 3rd anti-codon position. The record is from RNAcentral. RNAcentral also lists the same sequence under 1 other name. Lineage: Bacteria; Bacillati; Chloroflexota; Ardenticatenia; Ardenticatenales.